CAGGGCUCUGCGACAAUUGAAUGAAAGUCACCAGACUCAGACCGACUGUGCCCCAGGCCCGCUGCAAGGCAGCUUGUCCCCUGCGCCCAGGGGUCCAGGGGCUGGAGGGAAUCUGUGAACAUGACUGGAGAAGGCCUGACGUGUGCUGGCAUCCAUGCGCCCCUAUGUCGGGGUCCAGAAAGCAGUCUCCAGGAGCUGGCCACAUAAGCCAUGGGAAGCCAGCAGCCCAAGGAGGAGAGACGUGGAGAACAGACGUGAACUACCGCCCAGCCUUGGAGCUGUGGCUCUGGGCGGGAUCAGCCAAGGCAGAGCCGCGACCGCCGACUGCCACUGGGGAGCACAAUCGUUUUAUGACCGCAUUUAGCAGCCCGCUCGAUGACCUCAGUCGUCACUCGGCUGACAGCAGAGCGAGUGACUCACCCAAGAUGCUCCGAGGGCGGGCAGGGGAUUGCCAGAGGUGGUUCAAGUUCACGUGCAGGCUGCAGGUGCGGGCAGGGUGAGGAAGCCCCAGGACCAGCCCCAGGGCGCUGGGACAGGAGCAGCCGCUGUCAGCGUGUGAUCUCAGCAGUGACUCAGGCCGGGGACUGAGAUGGGCAUACUUAUUUCUGCCAGGGGAUGAUCUGGGUGGAUGCUGUUUGCAGUGGACAGCAUCCUGUGACAACGGGUCAGUAGGACGGCAGAGACUCAGAAGACGCAGCCUGGCCCUGGGAGGCGCUUGGUUUCCUGGAGGAGGGCACUCUGGGAGCUCCACAGCCACGGCUGUAGCCGCGGGCUGGACGUCGGCCAAGCAACAGUCGCCGACUCUGCCCUGGUCAGCGGGAGCCCGUGCCUGGCCUCCGUCCCCCGACGGUGGCUACUUCCUCCAUGCGUCCUCUGUGCCAGCAGCCCGGUAGUCAGAGACGUCAGCCAGGGAGGUCAUCUUGGUAGUUUAGCGUCUCCCGCGGUGGCAAAGCAUUCGAGUUUUGGUGUUGGUUUGUCACGUGGCCACGUUGUAUCCUUGCCACAGUGAUACAGGGAAAAUCUCAGACACACAAAAACAUGGAGAGAAGGGGCUGGCUCUGUGGCAUAGCGGGUAAAGCCGCUGCCUGCAGUGCCGGCAUCUCAUGUGGGCACUGGUUCAAAUCCCGGCUGCCCCUCUUCGAUCCAGCUCUUUGCUAUGGCCUGGGAAACCAGCAGAAGAUGGCCCAAGCCCUUGGGCCCUGCACCCGCAUGGGAGACCCGGAAGAAGCUCCUGGCUCCUGGCUUUGGAUCGGCGCAGUUCUGGCUACAGCGGCCAUUUGGGGAGUGAACCAACGGAAGGAAGACCUUUCUCUCUCUCUCUGUCUACAACUCUACCUGUCAAAUAAGUAAAUGAAUAAAUAUUAAAAAAAAAAAAAAAAGACAAAGACAAAUACAAAGUAUACAUUGAGGCAGGAGUGCAGGCAACCUCAGGAGAAAAUGAGUAUUGCGACAGAGGUGGUGCCGGGGUAGGCCUAAUUGAAUAUUCAAAAGGGGCGGGGUCUGGGGCGGGGUUGCAGUACACAUGGUGACCUCCAGGAAGCAUCUUGGUGUCUGGUGCAUGAUGGGAGGUGAGGCUCCGGGCGGGGGAGUGGUGUGCUGAGCUGCAGCCAUGUUGGAUUGGCACGGAAGGGGGUGUGGUUUGGGUGGUGCAGUCCUCGGCUCCUCUUCUGCCUCUGCCUGUGCCAACAUCGGUCAUUCCCUCUGUAAAGAUUUAUAGAUGUUGUGGUGCAGCGGGUAAGCUGCGGUCAGUGCCAGCACCAUCCCACAGGAGCGCCAGGCUCAGUCCCGGCUGCUCCACUUCUGAUCUGGCUCCCUGCUAACGUGCCUGGGAAAGCAGAAGAUGGCCCAUCUGCUUGGGCCCCUGCACCCACCUGGGAGACCCGGAUAGAACUCCUGGCUCCGGAUUAGCCCAACUCUGGCAGUUGUGGCCAUUUGGGGAGUGAACCAGCAGAUGGAAGACCUCUCUCCCCUCCCCCCACUUCCCUCUGUGUAACUCUUUCAAACAGCUAAAUCUUUAAAGAAAAUAAAAAACCCGGCAUUUGUAAUUC
This is a non-coding RNA of Oryctolagus cuniculus (rabbit), 2048 nucleotides long. NCBI's taxonomy places the organism in Eukaryota, Metazoa, Chordata, Mammalia, Lagomorpha, Leporidae. The record is from RefSeq and is a predicted model, not a curated record.